RNAcentral lists this ribosomal RNA (503 nucleotides) under uncultured bacterium. RNAcentral's name for it is "partial 16S ribosomal RNA". It matches the Rfam family "Bacterial small subunit ribosomal RNA", at positions 30 to 523 of the family's 1533-position model. The record is from RNAcentral.
AUUGAACGCUGGCGGCAGGCUUAACACAUGCAAGUCGAGCGGGGUGAUGGUGCUUGCACUAUCACUUAGCGGCGGACGGGUGAGUAAUGCUUAGGAAUCUGCCUAUUAGUGGGGGACAACAUCUCGAAAGGGAUGCUAAUACCGCAUACGUCCUACGGGAGAAAGCAGGGGAUCACUUGUGACCUUGCGCUAAUAGAUGAGCCUAAGUCGGAUUAGCUAGUUGGUGGGGUAAAGGCCUACCAAGGCGACGAUCUGUAGCGGGUCUGAGAGGAUGAUCCGCCACACUAGUACUGAGACACGGCCCAGACUCCUACGGGAGGCAGCAGUGGGGAAUAUUGGACAAUGGGGGGAACCCUGAUCCAGCCAUGCCGCGUGUGUGAAGAAGGCCUUAUGGUUGUAAAGCACUUUAAGCGAGGAGGAGGCUCUUUUGGUUAAUACCCAAGAUGAGUGGACGUUACUCGCAGAAUAAGCACCGGCUAACUCUGUGCCAGCAGCCGCCGCGG